CACCGUUUAUUAUUCAGUCUAUUACCCUCCACUGAAUAAUUUAAAAAAAAAAAUACAAAAACCAAAAUGAAUGAGUUACUAUUUUUUAAAGGAGAAAUGACAAAAAGGAAACAAAAGAUGGACAAAAGAUUGGUAGUUUUACAAUGCAAUACUUCAAACCUAAACUCUAUAUUUGGAUAUAAUCAGUCAGUUCAAAAUACACAAAUAGUUCCAAAAGCAUAACGGAUAUAUGAUAAUUUAACACUUCCUCCGUUAAGCGACCAAAGAAGAUUGGCCACUAAACGUACCCGAAUAGCUCCAUCAUUCUUCAAUGCCGGAAGCUAAAUUUCGUUUUGGUCUGGAAUAAAUCUCAGUUUUAUUAAAUAAUCAAGGAUGUGGCAAUCGGAUAGCCAAUUUUGUAAUCUGCCGGCAGCCUUGCCACUCCAGUCUCAAAGGACCAGAAUUGUGCAUUAAACAAAGAUACCCUGGAGCUAUCCUCCAAAUAUCUGGUGCCACGCAAAAAAACACCUCAUUUUGUUCUCUAUGUAUCUUGAUUCCAUGAACUCAUAAAGGUCAGGAGAAUGCCCAUUCUGAAUCAGCAUAAGACCUCUAUUCACCACAAAAGUCUACGUAAAAAGCAUUUUCAGCUCUUCAAUUCGGGCAUUUCGAACUUCUUGAUCAGUCAAGGCACCAGAAAUCAUCCGCUGCUUGCGUGCUUGCACUGCCUCCAUUCUUUCCUCAACCGUUCCCUUUACAAUGAACCGCUUGAUCCUCACUUGUUUUGUUUGUCCAAUGCGAUGAAUCCGCAUCACAGCUUGUUCCUCUACAGCUGGAUUCCACCAAGGGUCCAUGACAAAGGCAUUCGAAGCUGCUGUCAGAUUUAUCCCAACACCUCCAGCCUUCAAUGACAUCAGUAAUACCAGGAUGUUGUCAUCUUCUGAAAACUGUUUUAUAACUCUUUCACGCUGCUGUUGGUUUAGAGUCCCAUCCAGACGAACAAAUGGAAUGCUACUCCUAGAAAGAGGAAUUUGUAAGAGAUCCAGAAAGGCAGUCCAUUGGCUGAAGAGAAUACUCUUAGAUCCUGAUGAAUGAAGAUUUUCAAGUUCUUGCAAAAGAACAUUAACUUUGGAUGAUUCCACCCAAUUUUUUUCAAUAUCAAUCUGGAACCGACUGUCAGUUGGAGCUGUAAUCAGCUCUUGCCUAGUGAUGGUUUUCCUACAAACAGGGCAUAAACCAGAAGAAGGAUUUCGCCAGCUUGCAAACAGACACUCUCGACAUAAGCGGUGAGCACAAGGUGUCAAUACUGCAUCUUCAAAUGCUUCAAGACAUAUUGGACACUCUCCUUGCUCCCCCUUGCGCAACUCUUCCACAACCUCUUGAACAUAUGCCCGUGAAGGCAUAUCUCUGGCAUCCUGGCCACCUUUAAGGAAGCGUUUUGCUAGCUUGUUUAGGUCAGAAUAUUCUUGUGUAUCACCUCGACUCAUCACAAGAAAUGGAUGAUCACAACAUUGGCGAAGGCGUAAAAGUAACUCCAAGAUAGAAGCAUAAUUAUGAAGAACUCGUCCUUGCUCUACAAACUGAUCAAACUUCACCUUGGAUCUUUUAAACAAAGCUUCAUAGAAAUCUCUUUCUGCUUCUGUCAGUUCACAAUAUAUCACCUGAAUCUCUGCAGGAGGGAGAACUAGAAUUGGCCUGCCUUCUCGAUCUGUGCUAGACUUUGUUCUCCUUAACAUAAUUGGCUUUAAGAUAGACUGAAUCAACUUCAGCCCUCUCUCAUCACCCUCCUCAAAUGGUUUUUGGACAAGUUUAUUCCACCAUGCCCAACUUUCCCAAGGUUCCACCUUCAAAAACCGAAGAAGACUGUAGAUGUCCUCCAGGUUAUUCUGGAUAGGAGUGCCAGUAAGACACCAGCGGCACUCAGCAACUAGAGCAGCAGCAGCAAUGGAAAUUUGACUUCUUGAAGAUUUUAUCGUGUGCGCCUCAUCAAGAAUCACUCUAAACCACUGAACUGAAUAGAGUCCCCCAUUCUCUUCAGCAUUCUCUGCCGAAAACUCUGAAGCUAAUACUCCAUAUGUAGUUAUUACAACGUCAUUCUGAGCUAGAAGCUUCGUGUCCUUUGUUCUACUUUGUCCAUAGUGAACAUAUAUAGACAAAGAACCAGGUUGUGCGUGAGUUUCUAUCUCUGCCUGACAGUACACUCUAAAGCUUAGAUCAACUCUCAGGAACAACAAGGCAUGUGAUUAACAAUGUAACACUUUCACUCUUAAGGAAUCAACAACUGUGAGUAUUAAGUACAGUAAGUAUAUGAUAAAGGGAAACAACGACAAAUCAACAAAUGGCAAUCACAAUAAGCAUCAAAGUGGCAACACAAGUACCUUCCACUGGCCCAGAAGAGUCAUAGGGCAUAUAAUCAGAUUGCCACCAUCUGCAAGAAUUUUCUUCUGCUUCAUCAACUUAUCAAAGCCAGAAAAUUUUUUAAACUUUUUCAGAGGAUUUGGCGAUACUAAAAUAUCAUCAAUGUCACCAUCUUCAUUGGGAAGAUGACUCAC
This 2528-nucleotide unclassified non-coding RNA is filed under the name Hevea brasiliensis (rubber tree). Lineage: Eukaryota; Viridiplantae; Streptophyta; Magnoliopsida; Malpighiales; Euphorbiaceae. The record is from RNAcentral.